RNAcentral lists this transfer RNA (68 nucleotides) under Adicella ragma. RNAcentral describes it as "tRNA-Asn". The record is from RNAcentral. Lineage: Eukaryota; Metazoa; Arthropoda; Insecta; Trichoptera; Leptoceridae.
UUAACUGAAACCAAAAAGAGGAUUAUUAAUGUUAAUAAUAAAAUUGAGAUUUAUUAACUCCAGUUAAA